AUAAUUUGCCCAGUGAUGCUACAGGUGUCUCUUGGCCUCUCCUGCCAAGACAUCCACCCACUGCUGCUGGUGGGAGCUGAAGCGAUGGAUAUGUUUCACUCUGGGAGUUCCCUGUUUCAGCUCCCAGCUACAGCCUGCCAAGACUCAAGCAAAUAUUCAAGUAAAGGUUGAGGCAUUCACUGAGCUUGAACUAUUGUACAAGAAAUACCCCGAAGCAAAAACAGAGCUAUGAGACACCAUCACACAGAGUCACUUCCCCCACCCCGGCAGGCACCAUGCCGUACCAGACAAACUCCUCCAGAUAGGAUCCAGGCAGAGAUGUUUGCUUAACAUAGCAGCUCUUUGAAAAGGCAAAUAAAUGGACAGUGAAGCUACACAGACAUGUCACUGUGCAGCGAUUUCCGUUUAGCAUUUACGUUUAGUGCCAGGAAACCCUGACUCAUGUAUACGAAAUCAGAAGGAAAGGAAGAAAGCAGUUGUUCAUUAUCAGAGCUUCCAAUUGGGCAUGUGGUGGAAAUUAGCAUUAAAACGCACGGAGGUUACAAAGAGAGGGGCUGGCCCUGGAAGUCCAGGAGGCUUAAAGACCACAGCUCUGCAACAAGGUUCCAACACCAGUGGUGACCAUCCUGCAGGACCCCCAAUGCUGUGCCCAGCGUGCCUCGCAGCCCCAACCCACACCAACUAGAAGACCUUCAUGACUUCAGCAGGAGCCAGCAGCAACACACAGGCACAAAGGUAAAGAGCAACCUUCAUACUUACAUGACCAGAGUGAGAGAAGUGAGCUGAAUGAUGGUGAGCUGGGUGCUGAGCAUGGAGAAACUACAUGAGUGAGCUGCAGCUGCUACACUGCUGAGGGUGUGCAAGCAGUGCAAGUUAUCAUGGUUAUAUGUAGAUCUAUUUGCUCGAAUUCACAUUCUCCUGUUAAGACUUCAGGGAUUUCUUUCCCCAGAAUGAGCAGCCCAGUGUGUACCUCCAUUCCACAAAAUGGUGGAGAAAAAAACAGAACGGUGGGCUCAUAUUGGUGCUGUAAUUUAGUUUUCUAAGCCCAGAGUUUACCAUGUGCUUCCUGUUGAAACGACUGGCUGCUCUGGGCACACUAAGAAGAAUCCUUCCUCCUUCUCAUCUCCACCUCAGCAUUAUGAAAAGGGUUUUCAUCAGUUCAUCGAGAGAAGGAGAUAAGUUUGCUAUAAAAGUGCACAGUCGACAGGGUUGAGUUUUUGGAGAGUGUAUAAUUUUUUUUUUUUUUGCACUGUUAUUAUUUAAAAUAUGCUUUUUAAAAGGACAAAAGGGAACGGUUUAAUGGAAACAAAUUUCGACAGCAGAAUGUGCAGCUGGGUAAAAAAAAAAAAAAAGAUGAUUCCUGUUAUUGCUUGGGUAGACAAGUGAAUUUGGAAUGUGAGCACAAAAGGUGUUUAAAAGUGUGCUUCAACUUCUUCUUCGCUGCGCUGUUGAGAUUGAAAAGAAUAAUUUCAGGAGAGAAACUUUUCUCAGUGCCUCCGUUUCCAGCAUUGUCAAAUCUAUAGCAGUGGCCUUUUCCCACAGCUAUUAUCAUGUUUUCACCUUUUCUUCUUUUACCUCGUUUGUCCUCUUUGAAAGAAAAUACAGGGCUGAAAGGUGUGCG
Molecule: long non-coding RNA, 1621 nt
Organism: Coturnix japonica (Japanese quail)
Lineage: Eukaryota; Metazoa; Chordata; Aves; Galliformes; Phasianidae
Source: Ensembl